Molecule: ribosomal RNA, 465 nt
Filed under: uncultured bacterium
Lineage: Bacteria
Description: partial 16S ribosomal RNA
Rfam family: Bacterial small subunit ribosomal RNA
Source: RNAcentral
GACGAACGCUGGCGGCGUGCUUAACACAUGCAAGUCGAACGGAAAGGCCCUGCUUGCAGGGUACUCGAGUGGCGAACGGGUGAGUAACACGUGGGUGAUCUGCCCUGCACUUCGGGAUAAGCCUGGGAAACUGGGUCUAAUACCGGAUAGGAGCCAUUUUUAGUGUGAUGGUUGGAAAGUUUUUUCGGUGUAGGAUGAGCUCGCGGCCUAUCAGCUUGUUGGUGGGGUAAUGGACUACCAAGGCGGCGACGGGUAGCCGGCCUGAGAGGGUGGACGGCCACAUUGAGGCUGAGAUACGGCCCAGACUCCUACGGGAGGCAGCAGUGGGGAAUAUUGCACAAUGGGCGCAAGCCUGAUGCAGCAACGCCGCGUGGGGGAUGACGGCCUUCGGGUUGUAAACUCCUUUCGCUAGGGACGAAGCUUUUUGUGACGGUACCUAGAUAAGAAGCACCGGCUAACUACGUG